GACGAACCGUGCGAACGUUAUUCGGAAUCACUGGGCUUAAAGCGCGUGUAGGCGGGCCGCCGCGUCGGCUGCUGAAAUCCCCCGGCUCAACCGGGGAACGGGCACCGAUACGGGCGGCCUCGAGGGGGGUAGGGGGGUCUGGAACUUCCGGUGGAGCGGUGAAAUGCGUUGAGAUCGGAAGGAACGCCCGUGGCGAAAGCGAGGCCCUGGACCCUUACUGACGCUGAGACGCGAAAGCCAGGGGAGCGAACGGG
Molecule: ribosomal RNA, 254 nt
Filed under: uncultured bacterium
Lineage: Bacteria
Description: partial 16S ribosomal RNA
Rfam family: Bacterial small subunit ribosomal RNA
Source: RNAcentral